Molecule: transfer RNA, 63 nt
Filed under: Tropidomantis tenera
Lineage: Eukaryota; Metazoa; Arthropoda; Insecta; Mantodea; Nanomantidae
Also listed under: 4 other names
Description: tRNA-Thr
Rfam family: tRNA
About the family: Transfer RNA (tRNA) molecules are approximately 80 nucleotides in length. Their secondary structure includes four short double-helical elements and three loops (D, anti-codon, and T loops).
Source: RNAcentral
GUUUUAAUAGUUUAAUAAAAACAUUGGUCUUGUAAACCAAAAAUAAGAUUUUCUUUUAAAACU